RNAcentral lists this small nuclear RNA (107 nucleotides) under Canis lupus dingo (dingo). Lineage: Eukaryota; Metazoa; Chordata; Mammalia; Carnivora; Canidae. The record is from RNAcentral.
AUGUUCACUUUGGCAGCACGUAUACUAAAAUUGGAACAACACGGAGAAGUUUAGCUUGGCCCCUGCACAAGGAUGACACACAAAUUCAUGAAGCAUUCCAUAUUAUG